Molecule: ribosomal RNA, 1442 nt
Filed under: uncultured bacterium
Lineage: Bacteria
Description: 16S ribosomal RNA
Rfam family: Bacterial small subunit ribosomal RNA
Source: RNAcentral
GCUUAACACAUGCAAGUCGAGGGGCAGCAUGGUCUUAGCUUGCUAAGGCCGAUGGCGACCGGCGCACGGGUGAGUAACACGUAUCCAACCUGCCGUCUACUCUUGGACAGCCUUCUGAAAGGAAGAUUAAUACAAGAUGGCAUCAUGAGUCCGCAUGUUCACAUGAUUAAAGGUAUUCCGGUAGACGAUGGGGAUGCGUUCCAUUAGAUAGUAGGCGGGGUAACGGCCCACCUAGUCUUCGAUGGAUAGGGGUUCUGAGAGGAAGGUCCCCCACAUUGGAACUGAGACACGGUCCAAACUCCUACGGGAGGCAGCAGUGAGGAAUAUUGGUCAAUGGGCGAGAGCCUGAACCAGCCAAGUAGCGUGAAGGAUGACUGCCCUAUGGGUUGUAAACUUCUUUUAUAAAGGAAUAAAGUCGGGUAUGGAUACCCGUUUGCAUGUACUUUAUGAAUAAGGAUCGGCUAACUCCGUGCCAGCAGCCGCGGUAAUACGGAGGAUCCGAGCGUUAUCCGGAUUUAUUGGGUUUAAAGGGAGCGUAGAUGGAUGUUUAAGUCAGUUGUGAAAGUUUGCGGCUCAACCGUAAAAUUGCAGUUGAUACUGGAUAUCUUGAGUGCAGUUGAGGCAGGCGGAAUUCGUGGUGUAGCGGUGAAAUGCUUAGAUAUCACGAAGAACUCCGAUUGCGAAGGCAGCCUGCUAAGCUGCAACUGACAUUGAGGCUCGAAAGUGUGGGUAUCAAACAGGAUUAGAUACCCUGGUAGUCCACACGGUAAACGAUGAAUACUCGCUGUUUGCGAUAUACAGCAAGCGGCCAAGCGAAAGCGUUAAGUAUUCCACCUGGGGAGUACGCCGGCAACGGUGAAACUCAAAGGAAUUGACGGGGGCCCGCACAAGCGGAGGAACAUGUGGUUUAAUUCGAUGAUACGCGAGGAACCUUACCCGGGCUUAAAUUGCAGAUGAAUUACGGUGAAAGCCGUAAGCCGCAAGGCAUCUGUGAAGGUGCUGCAUGGUUGUCGUCAGCUCGUGCCGUGAGGUGUCGGCUUAAGUGCCAUAACGAGCGCAACCCUUGUUGUCAGUUACUAACAGGUUCCGCUGAGGACUCUGACAAGACUGCCAUCGUAAGAUGUGAGGAAGGUGGGGAUGACGUCAAAUCAGCACGGCCCUUACGUCCGGGGCUACACACGUGUUACAAUGGGGGGUACAGAGGGCCGCUACCACGCGAGUGGAUGCCAAUCCCAAAAACCUCUCUCAGUUCGGACUGGAGUCUGCAACCCGACUCCACGAAGCUGGAUUCGCUAGUAAUCGCGCAUCAGCCACGGCGCGGUGAAUACGUUCCCGGGCCUUGUACACACCGCCCGUCAAGCCAUGGGAGCCGGGGGUACCUGAAGUGCGUAACCGCGAGGAGCGCCCUAGGGUAAAACUGGUGACUGGGGCUAAGUCAUAAC